Molecule: long non-coding RNA, 750 nt
Filed under: Solanum lycopersicum (tomato)
Lineage: Eukaryota; Viridiplantae; Streptophyta; Magnoliopsida; Solanales; Solanaceae
Description: long non-coding RNA (SLYC_LNC001210)
Source: RNAcentral
UGUAACAGAGGAAAACAUCAUACAUGUCACAUAAAGCUAAAAUUUCAGCUUUCAGGUCACAAGCGUUCAAAGAAGUAGGAGAGGUCGCAAGGAUGAGUAAUAUGAGAACCGAAAGUGUCAAUUCAUCUAGAAAUACUCCUCGAGCGAGUGGAACAUUUACUUAAUUUCCUAGAAGAUUAAAACACAUUAUUCUCUGUAAAGGAGGUACUUCAAGACAAUCCACCCUCCACCUGUAACCCCCUUCCCAUUCUCCCCUUCUCUUCAGACACGUCGUGCAGUAAAAAGAGAUGAGCAAUAAAACAUUUGCACUGGCAGACAAUCCAAUUCCCCAUGAGAGGCAAAUCGAGGAAACAGGUUUAAUAGUCAGAUACAAAACCAAACUCACCUAGUUAUGUACCACAAAUAAUCACUUGUAUCUCUGGUUACAUUUAUUUGCUCCAAGAGACCAAAAGACCUAAUUGAUGAGCUGUCAUCUAAUGCAGAUAUAUCUUCACUGUAAGUCUCCCAAGAUAGCAUCUCUGAGUUAGUCGGUAGCAUUUCCAUCUUUGAUGUUUGAACUCCAACCUACAUAUGAAUUUAAAAGCUGUUAAAUCCUUGCUUUCAGAGUUGUCAGCGAGUAGCAUAAAUGAACUAUAUCUUUCGGAGGAUGCUAAAGCAGCUCAUGAGUACUAUUGAAUGUACAGAAGUUCCCACACGGGUGUAUUACGUACUUUGGCCGUGUUGAAGACUACAUUUCUGCAAUCAGGAAGG